Molecule: long non-coding RNA, 1420 nt
Filed under: Malus domestica (apple)
Lineage: Eukaryota; Viridiplantae; Streptophyta; Magnoliopsida; Rosales; Rosaceae
Description: long non-coding RNA (MDOM_LNC016124)
Source: RNAcentral
CCUGAAAAAGAUGUGGCCUCUCUUAUCUUGUGACACUGUCCACUCACCUAACUCAACAAAAUACUGUCGACUCAAGUCUCUCUGGUAUCAACCUCAAUGCUGCCAUCUCCAUCUCCAAACUGCCGCGAUUCAAACCCAGAAAAGGAAAGCCACGCUCCCAUCCCACCACCACCACCUCCAAAUUCCAGCGAACAGAUAACUCUGCAAAAUCCUCUGCACUAAAAAAGGACUGUUCUACUAAAUUAUCUCCCAAAUUCCAAUGAAACCGACGGCGAACGCGAGCGCGAGUUCGAAGCCUUCACCUCCCUUUUAUUCUUUGAGUUCUCCAUGGCUUCUUCUUUGAACGCUCGAAUGUCUGCAACUGCAAGCGAUUUCUAAAAGGAUUUGCAGCAAUCCCUUCAUUGUCAGGUGGGUCACCGCCGCGAUGCCUGAUUCAAUAAGUUCAGGUUCGAAAACGGUGCACUCGCUGAAUCAAUUUCAUUGAUUUUGCUUCCAAUCUCGUAAAUUUGUUUAAUUUGUGAUUGAAUGAUUGGGUUCGGAAUCGUUAACCUCUGCAAAUUUGUAAAUUUAUUCUAUCUAUUUCAUUCGCACUCUUGUGAACCACGGAGAGGCCACUCGGAGGUGGUUCAACAGCCAGGUAACCGCAAAGUGAAGGCUCAGACCCCCCUCCGUUGCCCGAACCCGAGGAUGAGGUGCUGUGAGUUAUGCAAUUCGAUUGAGAAAGCUCCCGUUUGGAAUUUCAAUUAAUUGUUUAAUCAAUCAAUCAAUUUUCUUUUGUUUUGUGUUUUUUGAUCAUCUGAAGAAUGUGGUUGAUGUUUGUUUGGAUUGUUGGUUUGUGAAUUUUUGAAGGAAAAUUGGCUGAUGUUGUUCUUGGAUUUGACUUUGUGGAGCCCUAUGUGGUAAAGAUCUUUGAUUUCUAUUGUAUCCUACUUUUCCUUGCAAGCAAGAGUGCUGUCUCGUAUCUAGCAUUCGCAAUGUCGCAUUUUGCCCCUAAAGAAAUCAAAGGCUCGCACAGUGGCUUCCUCUUGCUGCUAACAUCAACGGAGUGUAUCCAUCGGCAUCAGACGCACAUCAGAGCCCCUGCUUAUCAAAUGUAUGAACAAAAUCUGUGGGGCCGUGUUGUGCUGCCUGAUGUAGAGUCCCAUAAAACUCAACAGGACUAUCAAGCACCUUUUGAGGUGCAGCAUUCUUAAGCACCAACUUUCAAAUUCUUCAGAGUUUUAAUUUGUAUCAAAUAGUUCCAUUACCGUCUGGCCACGUUUAUUCUGCAGGUUUAAGUCAGCCCCAGCAUCGAUAAGCAAUUUGAAAGUUUCUAGAUAACGCCCUUUGCAGCUAUCAUGGCAGCUGAGUAUCCCUUUUCAUCUUGCUCAUUGUGAUCAAUGUCUGCCCCCUCAAUCAGUUUCUUCAAAGCCUCAAUACC